GCAGUGCAAUGGAUAGUACUUUGAACUUCUAAUCCAAAAGUCGUGGGUUCUAAUCCCACCCGAAAUG
This 67-nucleotide transfer RNA is filed under the name Trichonephila clavata. RNAcentral describes it as "tRNA-Arg". It matches the Rfam family "tRNA". Rfam says of the family: Transfer RNA (tRNA) molecules are approximately 80 nucleotides in length. Their secondary structure includes four short double-helical elements and three loops (D, anti-codon, and T loops). Lineage: Eukaryota; Metazoa; Arthropoda; Arachnida; Araneae; Nephilidae. The record is from RNAcentral.